This 567-nucleotide ribosomal RNA is filed under the name uncultured Arcobacter sp. RNAcentral's name for it is "bacterial SSU rRNA". It matches the Rfam family "Bacterial small subunit ribosomal RNA", at positions 69 to 653 of the family's 1533-position model. Lineage: Bacteria; Pseudomonadati; Campylobacterota; Epsilonproteobacteria; Campylobacterales; Arcobacteraceae. The record is from RNAcentral.
AGAUUAGCUUGCUUUAGUUGUCAGCUAAGUGGCGCACGGGUGAGUAAUGUAUAGAUAACCUGCCCUCUAGAAAGGAAUAACAGUUGGAAACGACUGCUAAUGCCCUAUAUGCCUUUAAUACAUAAGUAUGCAAGGGAAACGCUUUAGUGCUAGAGGAUGGGUCUGUAUGGUAUCAGUUAGUUGGUGAGGUAAUGGCUCACCAAGACUAUGACGCCUAACUGGUUUGAGAGGAUGAUCAGUCACACUGGAACUGAGACACGGUCCAGACUCCUACGGGAGGCAGCAGUGGGGAAUAUUGCACAAUGGACGAAAGUCUGAUGCAGCAACGCCGCGUGGAGGAUGACACAUUUCGGUGCGUAAACUCCUUUUAUAUAGGAAGAUAAUGACGGUACUAUAUGAAUAAGCACCGGCUAACUCCGUGCCAGCAGCCGCGGUAAUACGGAGGGUGCAAGCGUUACUCGGAAUCACUGGGCGUAAAGAGCGUGUAGGCGGGUAUAUAAGUCAGAAGUGAAAUCCUAUAGCUUAACUAUAGAACUGCUUUUGAAACUGUAUACCUAGAAUGUGGGA